Molecule: ribosomal RNA, 103 nt
Filed under: Clostridia bacterium
Lineage: Bacteria; Bacillati; Bacillota; Clostridia
Source: RNAcentral
CGAAGGGGUCACACCUGUUCCCAUACCGAACACAGAAGUUAAGCCCUUCAGUGCCGAUGGUACUUGGCUGGAGACGGCCCGGGAGAGUAGGUCGCUGCCGGAU